Long non-coding RNA from Temnothorax curvispinosus, 2028 nucleotides. RefSeq lists it as uncharacterized. The transcript has 3 exons. Lineage: Eukaryota; Metazoa; Arthropoda; Insecta; Hymenoptera; Formicidae. The record is from RefSeq and is a predicted model, not a curated record.
GAGAUUCUAUAGUAUAUGUAAUGUAAACUAUAUGUUAAAUGCGCGCAUUUAGCGAUAAGCGAAAAGUGCGUUCAGAAUACGGGCCAAUGUAAUAGUAAAUACCGAGUAUUUUAAUUGAGGAUGAUCGAGGUAUAGGUACGGAGUUAAGAAAGACAUCGAAGGAUUGAAAAUGAGAUAGAAGUACAGAAUCAAGAAAGACAUUGAAGGAUUGAAGAUGAGAUAGAAGAACCGGAAAUGAGAAAUAAGGAUUUGGAAAGAUUAAGAUGUGAAGCGUUGAAGGAUUAUAGCCCAUUUAGCUACCGUUUUAAGGUCAUUGUUUAACGCCGCAAUGGAAAGUUAAUAUCUUCGGAAUAUCUUUGAUUUAAUAAUUUUACUCAAACAAUUUUAUCAAUAAUUACGCCAACGUAAGUGCUUUGCGUUUUUUAAGUUGCGUUUUACAAAAAUAUACCAAUUGUUUGUAUCUUAAUCAUUCGAUGCAUUCACAUUAAUUAAUUCAAUGCUUUCUUUAAUUUAAUGUGAUACUCAAUGAAAGAUUAUAUAUAUAUCACGAGAUGCUCUAAUCUAGGAUCUCUAAUCUAUAUUCGAUGAAUAUUGCUAAAAGUAAUACCCAUUGAUAAAUAAUAAUUCUACGGGAUUAAAUCAGAGUAUGUUAUCGUUACCGCUGAUACCAUAAAUCUCUAUUCGCAUGAUGCUAUCAUCAUCAGUGAUCUGUGAUCACGCACAUGCGUGGGCUCUUCCAUUCAAUCUCGCAAGAAGUUAAGGGCUCGUGCAUGUACGAGCUUUUACAAUCUUCGCGUUACUGACGCGUUUCGACAAGAAGACAUUAUUGCGUACCAGUUCGAGAAUAUGGGACUUUUUUCAUGCAUCCUAUUGAGAUGUUUUCAUUCCAUAAAAUUUUAUUGGACACGAAAAAACUCAAUAAUCUCAGAAGAUCGCUCGAUUACAAUUCGGUGAUAAUACGUGAGAAGUAGAAGGCGUGGGAAGCUACCGGAUAUUCGCAACGCUUCACAGUCAAAGUUUCAACAACAGAUCACGCGCAUGACGAACGUAUUCGCGAGGAUUGCAACACAAACUCAGAAUGUUUAACGAUAUUUGUCGUUGGUCUUCCAUGCACGCUAAGCUUGUUAAUUAUUCCUGUUUAUGAUACCGACCGUUUAAUAAAAGUGCAAAGCCGUUGUUGGUUCGACAUUGUUUCUUUCGCGUUUGUUCUCAUUUCGCCUAGGAUAUAUAUUGCGACGUAUACCUAAAGUAAACGUUUUCCAUUAUAUGAGCUUUAUAACGGAGGCGUAAUAUUUACGAAGACGCGGAAUCGCUAUUUCGUCAAUAAUUGAUUUUUACGACGUGGUAGUCGUUCACCUUGAGACAAAAGCGUUUGGACAGUCAUCCCAUAUGUUUCUUACAGUAAAAUAAAAAUACAAAACUGGAGACAAAACACAUGUCGGAAAUUCUAUUUAACAUCAUCCGUUGUUUAUCAAAUACUAUGUGUAAAAUAAAUUUUACGAAUGAAGCAGUCAUUCAGAGUUGAAAUAUAUAUAUAAAAACAAAAUAUAAAAAAUAAAAACACGUCAAAUGCUUUGUAACGAUCGAAAUCUGUCAAUGGCGAUUACAAAGUUGUACGGAAUUCUUCGCUCUAUUAAAUUUCAAGCUUGACAAGCCUUAGCAAGAAAAUUUAAAAUUUUAUUAUGCAAAAAUAUCUUUAGAAUUCAAGAACUUCAUAAUAAGUUUUCUGAACAGUAUGUCACAAUUAUUCAUUAAUAUUAAGAAUUAACAGAAAACAUUGUUUACAAGCAAAAAGACAAUGAAAAAAGACAUGUAAAAAAUUUUUUUAAAAAGAUAGCAACUAUAGUCAUUACAUAUCAUAGUCGUCAAUCAUCAAAGUAAACAAAACUUAGAAUCACACACAAAAUCCUAUUCAGGUUUGAAAAGAGGUUUGAAAUAAAAAAAAAAUCAAGGUAAUAUCUAUUUCCAAGUGUUUAAAUACUAAAUUUCCCAAAAGCUCUCUAUUUUUAAUAUAGUUUAUAAACUGAA